GCCGCUGUAGCUCAGUUGGUAGAGCAUCGGACUGAAAAUCCGUGUGUCGGCAGUUCGAGCCUGCCCGGUGGCA
This 73-nucleotide transfer RNA is filed under the name Candidatus Gallitreponema excrementavium. Its description in RNAcentral is "tRNA-Phe". It matches the Rfam family "tRNA". From Rfam's summary of the family: Transfer RNA (tRNA) molecules are approximately 80 nucleotides in length. Their secondary structure includes four short double-helical elements and three loops (D, anti-codon, and T loops). Lineage: Bacteria; Pseudomonadati; Spirochaetota; Spirochaetia; Spirochaetales. The record is from RNAcentral.